CCUACGGGAGGCAGCAGUGGGGAAUAUUGGACAAUGGGCGAAAGCCUGAUCCAGCAAUGCCGCGUGAGUGAUGAAGGCCUUCGGGUCGUAAAGCUCUUUUACCAGGGAUGAUAAUGACAGUACCUGGAGAAUAAGCUCCGGCUAACUCCGUGCCAGCAGCCGCGGUAAUACGGAGGGAGCUAGCGUUGUUCGGAAUUACUGGGCGUAAAGAGUACGUAGGCGGUUAUUCAAGUCAGAGGUGAAAGCCCGGGGCUCAGCCCCGGAACUGCCUUUGAAACUAGAUAACUAGAGUCUUGGAGAGGUUAGUGGAAUUCCGAGUGUAGAGGUGAAAUUCGUAGAUAUUCGGAAGAACACCAGUGGCGAAGGCGACUAACUGGACAAGUACUGACGCUGAGGUACGAAAGCGUGGGGAGCAAACAGGAUUAGAUACCCUGGUAGUCCACGCCGUAAACGAUGAUAACUAGUUGUUCGGUCACUUGGUGACUGAGUGACGCAGCUAACGCAUUAAGUUAUCCGCCUGGGGAGUACGGUCGCAAGNUUAAAACUCAAAUGAAUUGACGG
This 561-nucleotide ribosomal RNA is filed under the name uncultured bacterium. RNAcentral describes it as "bacterial SSU rRNA". It matches the Rfam family "Bacterial small subunit ribosomal RNA", at positions 338 to 916 of the family's 1533-position model. The record is from RNAcentral.